RNAcentral lists this long non-coding RNA (939 nucleotides) under Populus trichocarpa (black cottonwood). RNAcentral's name for it is "long non-coding RNA (PTRI_LNC003863)". The record is from RNAcentral. Lineage: Eukaryota; Viridiplantae; Streptophyta; Magnoliopsida; Malpighiales; Salicaceae.
GGAUUUCUUGGAAAUUGAUCUCCUUGGUCCACAGCAUAUAUCCUUGGUCUGCAGGAACCCCAAUCAAAUGAAAUGGAUUUCCUGGAAAUUGAUCUCCUUGGUCCACAGCAUAUAUCCUUGGUCUGCAGGAACCCCAAUCAUUUUCUGGAAAUUGAUCUCCUUGGUCCACAGCAUAUAUCCUUGGUCUGAAGGACCCCAAUCAAAUGAAAUGGAUUUCCUGGAAAUUGAUCUCCUUGGUCCACAGCAUAUAUCCUUGGUCUGCAGGAACCCCAAUCAAAUGAAAUGGAUUUUCUGGAAAUUGAUCUCCUUGGUCCACAGCAUAUAUCCUUGGUCUGAAGGAACCCCAAUCAAAUGAAAUGGAUUUCCUGGAAAUUGCCUGGAAAUUGAUCUCCUUGGUCCACAGCAUAUAUCCUUGGUCUGCAGGAACCCCAAUCAAAUGAAAUGGAUUUCCUGGAAAUUGAUCUCCUUGGUCCACAGCAUAUAUCCUUGGUCUGCAGGAACCCCAAUCAUUUCCUGGAAAUUGAUCUCCUUGGUCCACAGCCGAUUCGGUUAACCAAGUCGGCUACCACUUGCAGCACAAUUCAUCAAAAGACGAUGUGAAUUAUCAUUUGACGUCAAACCAGGUGGAUUAUCAGCUGCAGCCACAAUUAUUUGAUGCAUAGCAAAAUAAUUAUUCAGAAUCACAGUACCUUGGCAGUCCUUUCCAGCCAAAUUGAUGUGUUGUGUGCUAAUCCGAUGAAAAUCAAGAUCCCAAAGAGGGUGAUGCCGCUGAUGUAGUAGUUGCAAUGCCGAGGACUUUUUUGUAUAUAUAAUUAUCUAUACUGUGUUUUUUAUUUUUAUUUUACUCGAUCUCAUAAUUAAAUUUUUGUUGCAUAAUUUUUAAUUAAUAAACAUGUAAUUAUAAAUGAAGGAAAGAAAAAAUUGGUUGGACUUGUUGGU